Molecule: long non-coding RNA, 535 nt
Organism: Orcinus orca (killer whale)
Lineage: Eukaryota; Metazoa; Chordata; Mammalia; Artiodactyla; Delphinidae
Exons: 2
Source: RefSeq, a predicted model, not a curated record
GGCAGACACAAGGAAAGCUCCGCAGACCGCGCGGGCUGCGACCCGGAGGCCUGGAAGCAAGCCUCGCGCCGCUGCCGCAGCGGGGGCGGCCAGCCCCCCUCCCAGGCAGACUGACAUUCCCGGUACCCAAAGGUCGCGCGGGGAGCGCAGGGCGGGGGUGCGCCCGCCCUCCUCCUCCCGGACCCCGGGUCGCAGGCAGCGGCGCACCAACGCUUGCGCAGCGCCCCGUACCCGGGCGGAGGCUGGUCCGGGCGCGCGCAGCGACGCGCUGGGGCCUGGGAGCCUGGAGACACGCGGGGAACCCGGAGACUCACGUACCCGCGGCGCCCCCGGCUGUGCCGCGCCGCUCCCACGGGCCUCCUCCCAGAGAAAGCGUUCCCCGUGUGCCUGCGCGAAGUGCUCGGACCCUGGAUGGGAAGAGACGUCUCUCACUGGCUCCUCACCACUGCACUUUUUGUAUCUGUUCUUGGAGAACGACUGGUCAUUUUAGGCCCGAAUCAAGCCCUUCCUGAUUAACUAAACGGUCAUCAUUCGU